GGGGGGGUUUACAGACUGGAUCGCUGGGCUGAGGCCAACUGGGGGAGUUUCACUAUGGCCAAGUGCUGGGUUCUGCCCUUCGGCCACAACAACCCCCAGCAGCGCUACAGGCUUGGGGAGGAGUGGCUGGAGAGCUGCCAGUCAGAGAGGGACCUGGGGGGGAUUGAUAAU
This is a long non-coding RNA of Athene cunicularia (burrowing owl), 171 nucleotides long. RefSeq lists it as uncharacterized. The transcript has 3 exons. The record is from RefSeq and is a predicted model, not a curated record. NCBI's taxonomy places the organism in Eukaryota, Metazoa, Chordata, Aves, Strigiformes, Strigidae.